AGUGAGACCAUGAACCCACCUGGAGGGAUUAACAACUCCAGACGCACCACCUUAAGAGCUGUAACACUCACUGCGAAGGUCUGCAGCUUCACUCCUGAAGCCAGGAAGACCACGAACCCACCAGAAGGAAUAAACUCCGAGCAUGUCUGAACAUCAGAAGGAACAAAGUCUGGACACACCAUCUUUAAGAACUGUUACGCUCACCGCGAGGGUCCGCAGCUUCAUUCUUGAAGUCAGUGAGACCAAGAACCCACCAAUUUAGGACACACUAUGUGUUAGGCCUGGCUCAGUGAGAAAAACCGUAGCCUCAGAGAGAUCACGGUACCCUGCCAGAGGUUGUAGAACUUGUUGGAAACUUGGAUCAAGAGGGUGUGACAAAUAACCAGGAAAGAUGAAUGGGAGGGCUGAUUUUCGAGAGCCGAAUGCAGAGGUUCCAAGACCAAUUCCCCACAUAGGGCCUGAUUACAUUCCAACAGAGGAAGAAAGGAGAGUCUUCGCAGAAUGCAAUGAUGAAAGCUUCUGGUUCAGAUCUGUGCCUUUGGCUGCAACAAGUAUGUUGAUUACUCAAGGAUUAAUUAGUAAAGGAAUACUUUCAAGUCAUCCCAAAUAUGGUUCCAUCCCUAAACUUAUACUUGCUUGUAUCAUGGGAUACUUUGCUGGAAAACUUUCUUAUGUGAAAACUUGCCAAGAGAAAUUCAAGAAACUUGAAAAUUCCCCGCUUGGAGAAGCUUUACGAUCAGGACAAGCACGACGAUCUUCACCACCUGGGCACUAUUAUCAAAAGUCAAAAUAUGACUCAAAUGUGAGUGGUCAAUCGUCUUUUGUGACAUCCCCAGCAGCAGACAACAUAGAAAUGCUUCCUCAUUAUGAGCCAAUUCCAUUCAGUUCUUCUAUGAAUGAAUCUGCUCCCACUGGUAUUACUGAUCAUAUUGUCCAAGGUAGAAACUUCUCUUGAAAUGAAUUUCAACAUUUUAUGGUCCAACGUAUGUAUAAACUUUAUUUGAUGACCUUUUCUGCUGGAUAUCACCUGUGUGUUCUACCAUCAAUCAUCAACCUAAACUCAGCAUGUUUGUUCAUUUGUUUCUUCAUUCAUUCAACUUUUCUUGAGGACCAGUAGGUGUCAAGGACUCUGCUAGACGUGGAAGAAGAUGAAUAACACUUGGUUCUUGUCCCUGAAAAACUUCCAGUCUGUUAGAAGAUAUAGAAAUACAAGGAUGAAUUACUAGUAUGUCCCAGUAAUUGAAAAUACUAAGGCAAGCUUAGUGGAAUAGUGAAGAAGAAAUGAUAAAUCGUGUCUCAGGAAGUAGAGCUCCAGGAAAGGUAUAAAAAGGUUACAUUUGAUAGGCUGGGUUUUAAAGGCGUUCAGCUUCCUUGUCUGUAAUACAAGAAAGAACUGUUGUCAAGUGAGAAAAUCCAUGUGAAAAUGCUUUGUGAAGUUUGUAAAUACUAGCUUUGAAGAUCACACAUGACCUGAUCCCAACCUUGAAGAAAGUCCUAAAAGAAAAAAUAUUACAUAUGAGGAAUUAAGGAAUAAGAACAGAGAGUCAUAUGAAGUAUCUUUAACACAAAAGACUGACCCCUCAGUCAGGCCUAUGCAUGAAAGAGUGCCAAAAAAAGAAGUCAAAGUAAACAAGUAUGGAGAUACUUGGGAUGAGUGAAAAAUUACAUCAUUGGACAUGAAGGAGUUUCAACAUCCAGCUUCAUCUAGGUGGUCAUGAUUACCUGCAUGCUUUGAGCUCAGCAGCAGUCUUCAUAAACACAUUUAAAACAAGAUCCUGGGUUUUUGUGGUUUGACUUCUAUGGUGUUUUAAAAAAAUACAGAUUUUUAGUGUUAAUAUUGUGUAAAUGUACUCACCUUGGGUAUUCAUUUGAAUGAUGGUAUUAUACCAUGAUUGUAUACAGUUUGUGAAAUUGUUGCAAGGGCAAAGAUAACUCUUAAAAAACUGUCGAGAUUACAAUGCUCUAGAAUCAGCAUAUAAGAAAAUAAAUGAUAUCUGCAUGUUGAAUUGGGGUGGAUGGGGGGAGCAAGCAUAAUUUUUAAGUGUGAAGCUUUGCAUCAAGAAAUUAUUAAAAAGCUUUUUUUCUCCAGUAUUUUCUGUAUUAUCUUAAUGUUUAUGGCAAAUAAAAUGUAAAGGAACAUGCAA
Molecule: RNA transcript, 2144 nt
Organism: Pan troglodytes (chimpanzee)
Lineage: Eukaryota; Metazoa; Chordata; Mammalia; Primates; Hominidae
Gene: OCIAD1
Gene name: OCIA domain containing 1
Exons: 10
Source: RefSeq, a predicted model, not a curated record